AACUUUUUUGCAGCUACAACAGGGGGUUCGUCCGAACCCCCCGAACCCCCCCUGGCUACGGGCCUGAUAACCUAUACAUAUACGACUGUCUUAUAUCUAUGGUGUAAUGGAGACACACAUUGACUUUGAGAGACUAUUAGAAGAAUUAGGAUCAGAAGUAACCAAUCUUCCUGAUAUAUCACAAGGUAUACAGUCACGUGACACUACUCACUGAUCACGUGAUCACAGGUUGGUCUGAUGGUUUGAGAUGAGCAAUAGAUCAUCAAGCAAUGAGUCUGUCUCAGUCUCCAGAGACGUUUGGUACAUGGCUACUGAUUAAUAAACUAAAAGAAACAAAUGAUGAUAAGGUGAUUGAUGGAGUAAUUAGUGUGGGUGUGGUUUUACAAGAUUUGAUGUAUAUUAAUCAUCAAAAUUUAA
Amphimedon queenslandica is the source of this 417-nucleotide long non-coding RNA. RefSeq lists it as uncharacterized. Lineage: Eukaryota; Metazoa; Porifera; Demospongiae; Haplosclerida; Niphatidae. The transcript is spliced from 3 exons. The record is from RefSeq and is a predicted model, not a curated record.